UGUGACUACAAGCAUGUCCUGGAGGACAUGGCCCUUACCCAGGAUCUUGAAGGCCUGGAAGGGUGGGGGCUCGGGGGCUGGUGAUAGGGUGGGUAUUCCUGGUGGGGGUUACAGUCUGAGCCAAAGCCCAGAGGGAUGGUUUAAAAUAGAGAACACUCUCCGAAAACUCCAUAAUGAAACCAUUGUGCUGGCCAUUUCCUCUGAGAGCCCUGGCUGUUACUGUGACCUCAGAGCUAGAGGUAGUUCCAGGUGUGAGGCCGCAUAGACAGUUCAAACCUACCUCACCUCUCUCUCCUCUCAUGCCAAUUCUGAGGAUGAGUUGUCCUUACCCAUUUUGCAGGUUUUUGGUGUACUGAGCUCAGAAAAAUGGCGUGUUCUUGGUCAUUUAUAUAUUUGCAAAGAGGUAGAGUUGAGGCCUCAACCCAAGCCCAUGGGUCCAAAGUUUGUACUUUGAAGCUUUCCAUCGUCUUAGGUUUGGAAACGCCCAAUGUCCAGAUCUUUCUGUUGAACUUCCAGCAAUGGAUGUAGUGAUACGCUGGCAAAUAUUUAACAAGCAACUCUCUGGAAGAAAAAGCUAAGGUAUGGUUUGUCAAAUUUCUCCAUUUCCAAGUAGAACAUACUUCCUUGGAGGCCGAUGCCAGGUGACCAGUCUGACAUCACUGAAUAUGGCCCUGAGAAGGAGGACAGCGGUCCUAAGUGUUUGCAAGCCUCUGAGAACCAGCUCCAGCACCUUACAGGAAGAGUAGCCACCCUUCCCCCAGCCCAGUGUGGCCAGUGAAGGCCAUUAGACAAGUCUUUGGCGGGGAAGAGGGCGGAGAAACCUGCUCCUCCAGCCAGGGCCUGCCCAAGGGAGUCCUGGGAAACUGCCGUUAAACUUUAAGCAAGUCUUGCAAACAGGAGUGGCUACUUUGCCUGCUGUUCAUGAGGAUCCUGAGCAGCCCCGUUCUCUCUUCUGGCUCAGUGGGCUACCCUGGCCACACUUGCACUCAGCAGUGCGGCCUUCAGAUCCCAGUCCUGUCCACUCCUACCUACUUCACAACGGGAGGAGGCUGGAACAGGAAACUGAUGACUGAACAAACCCUGAGGCACCUGGCCUAGAUGUGAACUUAGAUCAGCCUGACUCAAAGCUUUGCUCCUUCCUGGCCUGCUGGGACAUACAUUGUACCCUGAGGCUGGAGCCUCUUAUGUUCUGGGAGGAUGGGAACCUGCCCUUCAGGAGGGGUCUCCACCAGGAGAAAGCUCAGGCCUGGUGCCACAUUAACCUGGUUGGGUCUCAGUUGGCCACCUGUGAGAUGGGAGCACUUUCAAGGAAGGAGGAUGGAGGCAGAUGGUCGGAUUCAUCUUUCUAGAGGGGAACGGAGGAGUCAGAGGUGGACCCCCUCCCUGGCCCAAGGGGCAGCCCUAGAACCUGGACAGGGACUGGCGUUUGUGAGGGGUGGUCUUUGAGACCAACCUGAAACCACAUCCCGCCCCCUUAUCCCAUUUUCCUUCUCUACUUCCUGUUUGGCUGAUCCUGCUGUCCUCAGUGGCUGACUACCUGCAUACUUCCCAGCAGAUGUACGUGGUCUCUGCAUGCGCUGAAAAUGAAUUUAGGGCUGGCCUGAUGCUUGCAGUCCCUGCCCUCCAUAGGCAGAAGCUGGAGCCUCCCACAAGUUCAAGGCCAGCCUGUGUCACAUAGUGAGCCACUGUUUCGCCUCUUGAUACAUUUUAAUAAAGCUGCCUCUCUCCUCCUCACUCUGCCCCUCUGGUCCCAGUCUCUGGUUAAAGACAAUCAGGUCAAAGCUGGUGUGGCCAGUUGCCUCAGUUUCCGUGUCUGGAAGAUAGUGCUAGCCAUCGGUGCGUAGCUCAGGUAGCUAGGUUGGUCCGGGGCGAGAGGGCGCCCCCGCGGGUGGAGCUGCGGGGAGGGGGCUGGGUGCGGGAGGCGCGGGGCCCGGCUCGCACAGCAGGUCCCCCGGGUCGCCGGCGGGGCCCGGGUCCGCGCUUCCUUCUUUCUCCGGCUCGCAUCGGCCGCGGCCCCUCCUCCCGCGCGCUCCCUCCCCCUCGCCGCUGCCGCCGCCGCCGCCGCCUCCUCCCUUUCUCUAGGUCUGUCUCUCCCGGCCCGGAAUCCACCCGGCCGCCCCGCCGGAGCGGCCAGGCCGCCGCCCGCCAGCGCUGCGCGCCCCGCUGGGGUCCGCCCGGGCGCGUCCGGAGCCCGCGGCCGCGCCGCAGCCCCCAGCCUCGCCCCUCCUCGGGCCCAGCGACCUGCCGGCUCCGAAGUUGGCAAAAGUUUUGGUGUUUCAGUACCACUACUAGGUCCACUUGCCCACCCGGGCAGGUACUGGAGGUGAGUUUGUGUCCCCACUAGAACCACCACUUGUCAUGCUGUGUGUCUUGGAGACAACUGCCUUAGCUCUCUGAGCCAAGGCCCUUCUCAGUGAUGGGUAGACGGCCAGGACUGCUAGGCUGGUUGAAGAGUGGAGUGGACAGAGGGGACUUUUCCCUGGGUAACCCCUAAACCUCUAAGGUAUUCAGAGGGAGAAAAGUGGACAGAGACGUGUGAGGCUUAUGAGGCCCUAAACAAGGUCUUCCCUGACUCACAAACUGUGUGAGCAAUGGUGAUGGGUUCACCUGGGUGGAAGUCAGAUUCAGUUUCCAAGGUGGGCAUGGGGGCGGGGCGCGUGCGGGGGUGGGGCGGGGCGGGCGGGGAUGGGGCUCUUUCCAGACUUUUGAGUCCAAGCAUCAAAGUCUCUUGUUUUCCUGGGUGAUCUGAGCUGGGGGCUGCUCCUUGGAUCCUUCACAGCAGUGACAGGGUCCUCAGGUGAUUACUCCCUGUGCUUCUGGCAGCUAAGGAGUUGGCAUGCAUGGGGUGGGGUGUCAAUAAAUGAGUUCCACCCUGGAGCCUGCACAAGAUGACUGGGGUGCUUGUGGCACAGCUGCCUGCAGGAGAGGGUAACUGUGUCUCGAAGGGUGCCCUAGAGCCUCAAUAUCCGAGCACCCUCCUGUGGCCCACAGCUGUGUGAAUAUAGUCAGCUCUGGGUUCCUUUUGCCUCAGUCUUGUCAGAAAGGAAUGAUCAAUCAGAUUGUGAAGGCACUCAGUGGUAGAGCACAGGCUUCGCAUGCCCAAGGCCCUGGUGCUAGCCUUGGCACUACAGGACGGACAGAUAAAUCAGGUGGAGCCAUGAUGAUCAGAGCUGUUGAGGUUCACUGAACUCCUCCUGGGGCUAGCUCAGUCUGCAGCUGGAACUGGAACUUAGACUUCAGAGGAGCUGGCUGGCUGCCCUUUAACCUGCAGUGACAGUGAAGGCUGUAUAGUUUGGGGUCAGGAACAAGGCAUUGUUGGAAAAAGACUCCUCCCAUAUCACCCCCACCUGGCAGAGCCAUAAGGCCCUGCUGGAGAUGGGGUGUGUCCCGGUGAGGUGGCCUUUCCACAAGGGGAAGUGACUUAUAGUGUGUCACCUCUCAGCUGACUGCUUGUAUCCUGGGGUACACACUGAGAAUGAGUGUUAGGGGCACGCCCCAUCUCAUGUUCAUCCUUGUUCUUCCAGCCUUAGGGCAACCCUAUCUCUCCCACCCAAUCCUCUUCUGUUUCCUGUCGUGUCCCUUUCCCCAGCCCCCCACCAGCCUCCAGCUUAUAGGCUGCCUCCUGCUUGGGCUUUUACCCCAUUCUCAUCUGACAGUAGGGGUGGGAAUGGAGCAUGUCUGGGUCCUCUAAGUCCCAGGAUCUAAGGAGGACUGGCUAAAUGGUUUUUGUCCCUGUUAUCCACCUGGUCCUCGGCUGUCUUUGAUCGUACAUUGAGCACUUACUAUGCACUAGGGCCUGUGAACUUUGUUGAGCAGCUUUGUGGUAGGAGGACGACAGCUUCCUGAAGGAGGAGCUUGAGCUGGAGCAAGCAGUGGCCAGCUAGCCAAGAGUGCAGCUGGACCAGUGUUCUUCCCCUCUGCUCAGAAGGUCAUCUGCCUGGGGACUUGCUGGGAAAUUGUGAACAGGUCCUUGGCUUCUAGAAACUGGAGUAAGGCGGAUAAGCCAAGUGGCCAGAUAAAUGAAUAUAUAAUCAUGGCUGUGAUAAGGGCAAGGCCUAGGGAACAGAGGAAUCUUGCAGGAAGAGUGUAGGAGGGUUACCUGGGCAUGAAGCUAGGGGAAGGUACGCCAGGCAGAGGGAGAGGUCUGUGCAAAGGCCUGAGGUGGGGGAGAGCAUGGCUGUUGUGGAGGAACAAGGGGAGAGCCAUGAGAGAGGAUGGUCAAACAGGGCCUGCUAUCAGUUGGGCUGGUCUCAGUGAGGGCUCCCAGAAGCCCUGAGAAGGAUCCUGUCCUCCAUUUUUACACAGGGAGCCGUGUGAACCAGCGUUAGCUGGAGGCCGCCGCACGGAGCUAAUGGUCAGCUGUGCGGACCUUAGAUCAGGUCUCAAGAGGAGGUAGUGUAUGACACUAGGCUUUGAAGGUACAGUAGAAGUCCGACCCAUGAAACCAGAGGCAGUGAGAACCAAGGCCUAGGAGGCUCAGUGCAGUGGGGAGAAACUUGGGAGUGAGCUGGAGGACAGGGAUGGUCAGACAGGAAACCGGAGAUCAUGCUUGUGCAUCUGACAGGCCUGAGUUCAAGUUCUGACUGCUGACUGUCCCAUUUACUGUGUGUCUUUGGGUCCUUCACUGAGUCUUUUUGUUUCUUCUUUAAAACCGAGGACCAGCCCAUCUCUGCCAAAAAAAAUGGCUGUAUGUGGCAUUGGGAAGCCCACUGGCAUCUCUGGGCUCUGCCUUGCCAUCCGUGUGGCCAUGGACUUGAGUGGGUGAUGGCAUUGGUCUGAAGGUCCCACUUUGGGCAGAGCUUGUCUAGAAGAGGAUGUUGAUAGGAAAGGACAUCAGUGUGCUAGGUGACCAUGAGCCUUGCACUCUCUGUGGCAGAAAGUCGAGCUGGGUCUAGCUGUCUGAAUGUAAACUGUUAAGACCUAGAGAGAAAAGGCCACUGGCCUAGGGUUUCCCAGGUGACAGCCAGGAACGGGCUGGAGGGCUCUGAACUCCACAUUCAGAAUUGGUGCUACGGGAGUCUCAGAGGCCCGCAGAAGCCCUUGGUGGAAGCCCUACUGUUUGAGGAGAACUGAGGUUUGAGGUUCUCCUGCCCCUCUAUGGUCUUCCAGACUUCAUAGCCCUUUGUGUCUCCUAUGUACCUUUCACCUCCCUGGGGAGAAUCUCUCUGGCUUUCUGGGGAGAGGUCAUCACUUUUGAGGGGCCUCAGUUUCCUCAUCCAUGAAGUGUGGCUGACUCAUGGCUCCCUGGAUAUCCCAAGAGGAUGGACAUGGGUAGCUAACACAUUCAGGGCUUAAUAAAUGUGAGCAGAUUGCUCCUGGUCAUGUGACACAAGGCGGAAGAUAUAAAAUGGACUUGCAGCUGACAGGGCCAAGGAGAGGCUAGGAUCCCACAUGCCCUCACUGGAGCUGGCCCUGCUUCACUGCUCUUAGAGAAGGAGACCUGUUGCUCAAGGCUCAUUCCACUGGCAAGCCCAGAGUCAAAUCACAACCUCUUUGCUAAAGUAAUCCCAGUAGCUUAAUCUACUGAUGUUUAGUGUACAUUAUAUAUAUAUUUCCUUUCUCUGGCUCAGACGAGAAGUCCUGACUCCAAUUCCACAAGCUGUGUGAAGCAUUCUGAUGUCCACUGUUGGUUUUCAUGGGAAACAGUGCUAUGAUAGAUUAGUAAUGUCUGCUCUGGGCAGAAGCUUAGCAAGCAUUGUCUGUGUGCUAUGUCAUUCCUGAUCUAUCUAGACCUUCUCCUUCACUGUGGGGGGAGUGAAGGAGAAAGACUCAGGACAAGUUAGCCAAGCUAGGAAGAAAAUCCUAAUGUCUUUUUUUGAUGUAUGACUGUCUUCACCAGCCAGCCUGCCCAUGACCACAACACUGCCAGAUAGCCUGACUAGAGAGAAGACUAGGCAAUUAGGGAGAAUCCCAGAGCAAGAAGCCAGAACCCCCACCCCUCUACUUGUUGCUACAGGACUUGGGGCGAGUAACUUCCCCUGGGACUACGCAGAGGAGCUGUAGAAAGGAGAAGCACGAGCGAGAAGAAAUUGAAAGAUUGUGGUUUGUCUCUUCCUGUUCUGGUCCUCAGCGUCUCCAUCAUGGAGUUUUCCCCUUCCCUGAGAACCUGAGACAUGGUCCUAGCUGGAGUUGGGUAGGGUGGGGAGUGUUCAGGAUGGGGAGGGUGUCUGCCACCUAUUGGCAAUGGUAGACAUGGGUCCUUAGGCGUCCUUGGGCCUGCUGGACUGUGCAGCCAGCACGAUCGAAUCUGACAUUGGGGGUUGGAAACAGGCAGGGUUGGAGUGGCCCCAGGAGGCAUGGUGGACUUCCUGGAGCCUGAUAGCUUCACUCAGGCCACCCUGUCCAACUUGUGGCCUGUACUUGGGUUUAUCUGAUGUCGGUAUCUACGAAUUAUGUUCUCUAGGGCUGCACCACAGGUAGCAGGGUGGCCCACUGUAUGUGUUCCUUAUCCUGGAGUGGGUGGAACCUUUAUUUCUAUUUCGUGGAAGAUGAGCAGGGGCUCUGAGAAGCGAAGGACUAUGGCUGUAGUCACCAGCAAGUGAGGUGUGAGCAUGGACUCCUGGAGUCUGGGUGCUGUGGAUAUCUGAUUCUGCUGAGUGUCCCCAGUGUGUCUGACAUCUUUCUUAGGCAGAGUAUGGGCUCCCUGACUUCCUGGGUACAUACUGUGACUGGUGGGUAUUGGGUGAUCCAGGUGCAUGAUCUCCUGGUAGUGGUGAGGCCUAGCGAUCAGUUGGUUUGGGGUUUGAAUCCUGGCAUAGUGGCCUGUUUGUUGCAUCUGAUUGUGGGGAAAAUGACUGCUCCAUGCCUCAGUUUCCCCAAUCUGUGUAGCUCUAGUAUAGCUAUGAGAAGGUGGCCUGACUGUGAGGCAUGCUAGUGUAUGUCCAGUGUGUGGGCACAGGGCCCACUUGGUGAUUUUGAGGCUGUGAGGGAAGGUGAUUCUGUGAUGAGGUGGAAAGACAAAUUGAUCUGGGAACCCUCAGGGCUGGCACUGGCCACCUUGGUCUCUGGUUGUCCUGCCCUGUGCAUCUAGGAGGGGUUGCAUUGAUUGGAACCCGCCAGCUCCAUCAAGCUACUCUGAGGCCAGCUCUCCUCUCUCCCUGCCCCUCCUGGAACCUGAUCACAUAGCCAUCCAUGACCUCCAGUGCCUAAGACUCCCCUAACUUGAGGGGCCCUCCCUAGGAGUUAUCCACCAUCUGGGUGCUCCAAAUGCUGGGCCACAUGGCCUGGGUACAAACUGCACUUUCUUUAGGUAGUGGCAGGUAGAGGCUCAGAGAAGGGUCCGAGCUCUGCAUAGCUCCUGGAGAUGUUGCCUCUCAGCACAGAGCUCCUUCCUCAGCCCCAGCCUCCCUUUUCCCAUGUGUCUCUGCUGUGGGUUACCCCGCAGGUGCUUUGAACCACUGACUGGUUUCAUGAUUGCUUAGAUAGUUGGGUGCCCAUACCUUUGCCUGUACAGGUCCUCCAAUGUCCCCUAUUUUAUUGGAUAGGUGUGUGUGUGUGUGUGUGUGUGUGUGUGUGUGUGUGUGGUCUUGCUAUAUAGUCUAGGCUGACUUGGAACUCAUCUCGUAGCCCAGACUGGCAGCAGUAAUCCUCUUGCCUCAGUUUUCUUUCUUUCUUUCUUUCUUUCUUUCUUUCUUUCUUUCUUUCUUUCUUUCUUUCUUCCUUCCUUCCUUCCUUCCUUCCUUCCUUCCUUCCUUCCUUCCUUUCUUUCUUUUUUUGUUUUGUUUUCGGAGACAAGGUUUCUCUGUAGCUUUGGAGGCUGCUUUGCAACUCAGUAGAUCAGACUGGUCUCGAGCUCACUGCCUCUGCCUCCCAAGUGCUGGGAUUAAAGGCGAGUGCCACCACCGCCUGGCUUGCCUCAGUUUUCUGAGAGUUGGGAUUAUAGGGUCCACCAUUACACUGGGCUAGGUACCCCACAGUUGCUCAAGGCCUCCAGGAGCUAAAGUAUCUCUGGCUGUCCCCUUCCCCGAAGUCUUUUCCCAGAGCCUCCUCUGCCUCUUUCUCUGCUGUCUUUCAAGGCUCCCGCUCUGUCUGUAGGUGGCAAGCCCUGACUCUAGGCUGGUUUUCUCUGCCUCUAAGGAAAUGUGUGGUAACUAUCACUCCCAACAAUAUAGCUCUUGAUAGUUUACAGAGCACUGUGUGUAGUUACCCGUGCACCCCGGCAGGGCUGUGAGGGAGAUAGAACCCACGGAGCACCUUCAUUUGACAGGUGAGGAAACUUGCCUCAGGUUGCCUCUCCCUGCUUGGGCAACUAGAAUACUCCUAUCCUUCUGAGUCUUGAGUCUGCCUUCUCUGUGAGUUCCCAAAUGGAUCGGAGAGGUAAAGUGGCUUCCCUGGAAUCACACAGCACUGAAGGGGUGACACUGGGAGGUUCCUUCUAUGUAUUCAGUGGCCAAGCUGUGCCCUGUGGACUUUGUUCCAAGCUUUGCCUAGUCCCCAAUGGAGGCUGAAGUCGGUCCUGUUCCACCUGCCUCUGCUGGGAGCCCAGGAAAAUGGCGUCUUCCUUGUCCACGUCAGGAGGCAGCAGCUUUUCCUCUUGGGUUGGAACAUGACAAGCUCCUUCUCCCUAAAUAUCUUCCAGCUUUAGGAAGUUUUCCCUCAGUGGUCGAGGUUGAGGGGCAGGAAGGGGAGAUUUUCCCAGGCAGAGGAUGGUAUGACCAGAGCCCUGCAGGUGGGCAGCCUGGGGUCUGGGGAAGGUGGUGUGGGUUGAGUGGGCCUCCACUGCAGAAUUUGCCUCCUGCUCCCCACCCCCACCCCUCCAGGUGUUCUAAAAGCCUGGAACCAGAUGAGCCACCGUUCUAUUUGGGGACGAUUCUGCUGUUCCUGUUUCAAUCCUGUGCCCUAGUUUUAGAAGCAAUGUGGGUUUGGUUACCAGUUGGCCACUCGCAGGCAGCUCCCCCUCCACCCACUCGGCCCACACCUUGGAUCCGUGGGCAUCAUGGCCAGAACAGGCCUUGGCUACCUUUGAGGUUGCCUGCCUUUGGGGCUGUCUGCAUAGUCCUUGAUUAGCAACUGAUGGUGCCUGAGCCAGUGAUAGGACACACACCUGGUGGGGUGAGGGAGGGGCACAGGAGGCUGCCCCCAGGCUCUGAGAGGAGAUGUACUGUGGAGGACAGGGUGACAUGAUCCAUCUUGGGGGCUGAUUUGGGACUCUCUGGGAGUAAUGCUCUGGGAAGCUAAGUACAGACCCUGAUGGUUGCUCUACUGUAAGCUAGGUACCACAGGAAUGAUGUCAGCCUAACAAUGCCAGGUGGGCUUCCCAGAAGUGAUACCUAGGACUUAAAGGGUGAGCAAGAGGUCAUGAGAGAAAGAUGAGUGAGGGCAUGCUGGACAGAGGGAACCCAGGAACUAGAGGGUGUAUGUGUAAUGUGGGGUGUGUAGCCGUGAGAGUGGGUGGACGCGAGCAUAGCCUGGGGCUGUGGUCAUGUAUAGGCACUAAGAAGGGGCCUUAGUCCAUCCAGCACACUUAGACUUUGUUGUCAUAGAGUGAUGGGAGCAGGGAAGGUGUAGGUGGUGGAGGGCAGAGGAGGAUGAAGUGGGGCUGGGGUUCAAAACAGGGAUCAAAGUCCCUCACUGGGUGGAGGACAGAAGCUGGCCUAAGGAGGAGCCUGAUCAGGGCCUGGUGGUGCAGUGUGCCAGCUCCCUCUGAGCACUGGGAGCUGGGAUUUGGACCUGGUGCCCUCUGUGGAUACCCCAGGCAUAAUGCUGAAGUGUUUACACACAGCCUUAUGCGGUGGGAGGUCCCUGGGGAGAUGGAUGUACCCAGUUCUGUGGAUCAUGCCUGGCUCAGGCUGUGUGGCCUUGCUGCAGUGGCCUAGGGAACUCUGCUGAGUGGUUCUGUCUGGGAAUAGGAAGAGCCUGGUGGGGGUGGGAGUGGGCAGGGAGAUUUGCCAUGGUCGCCUCUCACAGCAUCUCUUGGUCGCACUGUCCCUCAGGAAAUGGGGGGAUCCAAUGGUGGGUUCCACAGGCACCUGGGGUGGGCUUUGGUCCAGGUCCCAGCCUCCUUCCUUUUGGGUGAGCCUCCCAGGGCACAGUCCUCCCUCUCUUGAGCUCUCCAUGGUCUGAGAACUGUCUACUGUGGGAUACAACAGGCCUGCCUUUGAAGCCUCACUUGGACUCCAGCUGGGAGAGCUUGGCUAAGCGAUUUUGCCUUCCUGAGCCUCAGUUUCUCCCCCCACAGAAAUGGAGGCUAGCCUUUGGAGGGCUGUGUCUAGUGUUGUACAGUCAGUCCUGGGAGAACCUGGCUCAGAGCCGAGGCCUUGCUGAGCUGCCAAGGGGCAGCUUCCGGGCACCCAAGGCUCUCAGUUCCAAGGACAAAGCCCCUUUGUGGGGAGACAGAUGGAGCCUGGGAGCCCCCUCCCUGGGGAGCAGGGCUGUCUGCCCCUCCUCUGCUCUCCAUCCCCUGGGAGAAGGAGCUUUCUGAGACCAAGGGUGGGAAUCCAAUGGGUUUCACAGCCUGGCCAUUCUGGCUGGGGAGCUCAGUGUCUCUUCCCUUUCUUGAGUACUUGUCAGGGGCCCGGGCAUCCCUGGCAAAUCCAAGCCUGCUGUGGGUGCCCUGUGCAUCUGCCCUUCCAUCCGCUAGUCAUCCUCUCCCUCACGCAUUCAUCUCCCCAUUGGUCCAUCUUCCUUCCAUCCCUCCACCCCAGGAGACUCCCCUUGCUGGGCCUAUGCUUUUUGACGACACUGACUGCUCUGUCCUGAAUGUGUCCAACUGUUUCAGCAGUUUCUUGUUAGUUCGUUUUUUUGUUUUUGUUUUGUUUUUUUUUUUUGUUGUUGUUGUUUUGUUUUGUUUUUUUCGUUUUUGAGAAAGGUUUCUCUGUGUAGUUCUGGCUGUCCUGGAACUUGCUCAGUAGACCAGGCUGGCCUCAAACUCACAGAGAUCCGCCUGCCUCUGCCUCCUGAGUGCUGGGAUUAAAGGCGUGAGCCACACCGCCCAACACUGUAUGCUAGUUUUAAUGUAACACUUACCACCAAAUAGCCAGUUGUUAGCAAGUACAAGUGGACCUGAACUCAUCCAGAGAUUGCUGCCAUCAGAGUGAAGAUUCAGUCCAGGAAAGAGAAGUUGAAGGCCUCAGACAGGGCUGAGGGACCCUUAAGUCCCCUGAAAAAUUCUCUUUUGAACUCUGACUGGAAGAGAGUGGGGUUGGCUGGGGUGCUGCCAUUGAAAUGCCUAUUGGAGCGGGUGGUGUGAGUCCUGAAGCCUCAGAGACAGUGAGGGUGUGAGGCGCGCACGUAUGGGGUGAGGGGGGUAAACUCUGGGCAAAGAGAAUGGCCUUAGGCAGGAACAUGCUGUUUCCAGGGAAGGGAGAGCUAUUGACCUGUACAGUAGAGGGAAAUGAGGGGAAGGGUAGAGCCGGUAUGGUGACCAGCAGGGUUUUGGUGUCCCUGUACCUUUAGGGUAGGACCUGUGGGGAGGUCAAGGGCUGAAGGAUUUGGAUCGGCAUCUCUGAGAAGCUUUCUGGCCCAGUUUGGCAAUGCAUGAGAGGACAAACACAAGUGUUUGGGGCUGAGGCUGACAAGGUUUGGAACCAGACUAUUGAAGACAGGAAACUGAGGCUGAGCAUGGCUUCUUCAUGGCCAGGAUCACACAGUGAGCAGGGCUGGGUUCGGGCUGUCAGGGCCUAGGGGACCUAUGGCUUUAGAGAAUACGGACCCUGAUCCCCAAAUCCCAGCCAGCAAAUUUUUUUCUUUUUAAGGUUUUUGAAGACAGAGUUUCUCUGUGUAACAGUUAUGGCUGUCCUGGAACUCACUCUGUAGACCAGGCUGUCCUCCAACUCACAGAGAUCUGUCUGCCUCUGCCUCCCAAGUGCUGGGAUUAAAGGUGUGUGCCACCACUGUCUGGCCCCAGCCAGCAAUAUUAAAGUAUUUCUUAUCUUGGUAAGCAGAGACUACUCUGUAUGCCUCUAGGCUGGGGAAAGCUUGACUCCAACUUGCUGUGUCAACUGAGCAUCAGUUUCCUCUGCUGCUAAUAGUCUUUCCCACACAGUGCUUCGGGGAAGCCUCAGGCAUUGCAGGUGUCUGGGGUGUGAGGGCCUGCACAGCCACAGCUGGACUUCGGCCAAGGCUGGAGUUCCUUUUCAAUAUCUCAGCACUUUGGGGUUGAAGGUUCCUGGAAUCAGAGCUCGAAGUCUCUUUCCACAUGGGGAAACAGUCCAGAAGGGCACCAGUUUUCAGAAGGCCUCCUAGCCUGGCAGAACACGUCAGUGUUCUGAGCUGGGUCACUUAACUGCCUAGCUCCAGGGCCCAGCUCAUCCUGCCCUUCUCAGGCUCCCCUCACUUCCUGGCCUUGUCUUCCUUCAUCCUGGAAGCUGGUUUCCAGCUUCUUGACAUUGCAACAUAAUGUUGUCAUCUAUAUGGUUCAUGUCCCAGGGAUUCUUGAGUUAGAACAAUAAAACCGGGUGUGUGGGGGGGAAUCUUGUUUUAAGCAGGUUGCAACUUUGUGUUAGGUUACAGUCAUAACUGACCUGGGGUACUGUGGCCUGGAUGUCAGGCUUAGAACACAGCCUAGUGGGAAGAGAUCUUGUUCUUCCUGGAACAGGUCAGGGGCUGAAGUCCAGAAGAGAGUAACAGGGACCAGUCUGUCUACACCGGGCUUGAGGUGUGAGCCUCAUUUUCUACUUGGUUAGCUUUUAUCUUCCUAGGCUGCAGGUCCUGGGUCAGCAUCCCCGUGCACACCCCCCCCACCUCCCCGCCUUUUCCAGGGCCAGCUGGAGCCUGCGGGCACUCUGCCCAGUGACACUGGCAAAGCCGGUUUGAGGCUUAGACAGCCCCCAGCAUGCUUGCACUGAGAAUGCAGGAUCAGGCAUGUUCUGACUGCUAUGGCCCUGGGAUCUGCCUGCUCCCCCACCCCCAUGCACCCUCUCUCACUCCUGCUCACUCCUUACUCACUUGGUUGACACCAUCCCCCACCUCCCACCCAGUUCCUAGCUCAGGCCUGUUGCUGGGUGGGGCCCGGGACUGGAACUGCUUUAUAUUUUACAUUGGCUGUAUAAGUUGGGUGGUCAGAGUCUCUGCUGGAAGCUCGUGCAGUGCAGGGGGCAGGGAGAGAAGGGGAUGGGGCCUAGUCCCUGGGAUGAAUAGACCUGUGGUUUAGGCUCUCUCUCCUUCCUGGGAGGCUCUAGGUGGUGCCCAUCCUUCCCCCUAACUACCCACUCACCACUUGUCCACCUACUGUCUAUCCACUCAUCUACCCCCACCCUGCCAUCUUCUAUCCGUCUGUCCAUCUGUCUAUCUAUCCAUCUGUCCACCUACUUACCUAUUCACCCAGCUGCCUGUUCCUCAGUGGGGCCCAUCCAUGUACAUAUCUACCCAUUCACUUACCUGUCUAUCCUUUCACUCAUCCACCUACCCAGUCAUCUUCACCCUUCCAUCUACCAGUCUAUCCUCCUAUGGCGAUGAACAUGCAUGGAUGGAUGACGGAUGCAUGGAUGAUGUAGCCAGCCAUGUACCCUGGGCACUUUUAUGCACCAGGCAGUAUUCUGGAGGCUGGAGACACAUCAGAGAACUAGCUGGACACGGUCCCUGUCUUUGCAGUUGGUUGACCUACAGGGCAGCCAGAAAAGCAGCAAACAAGGGACGUGGUCUGCUAAUGGGGGUCAAGUGCUGUGGACCCUACAUAAAACGGAGGGGAAGUGGGUGGGCAUCCAGGAAGGUGCUCACACUGAAAGACUGGCUGGCAUUGCGAGUGGGGUGGGCUUACAGUUCUCAGGAGGAGAUCCUAGGGAGGGAAUACCAGUGCAGAGGCCCUGAGACGGCCUUGGAGUGUUGGGGCAACAUCAAGAGUCUGAGGAAGGAGAGAAUAGAGGAGGAAGAAGACAGAAGGACCUGAGGGGCGGGGGCCCGUGUCCAGGGUGGACUGUGGGCUGGAAGUGGGCAGGGCUGCAGUACAUGCUGGCGAGGAGCAGAUGGUUGUCUGUUUGGAGUACUUGGUACUGAGUACUGCAGUACUCAGGCAUAGUUCACUGUUUAACGUAGCCAUUUUCUUUCUGUAUGGAGAGCCAUAGCAGAGCCCUCCACCCCUCCCCCUUCCUUUGCCGUCCCUCAUGUCAUGCUAAAGUAGAUCUCCGGUGCCCCGUGUUAAAUGUGCCAGUAUUUCUGCACAGCCACGGGUCUGUAACCUGCCUAAAGCCCACCGUUCCUUCCUACUAGCGGCCCCCGCUUUCUCCUGGUACAGUUUGCUGCUGAGGUUGAUGUGAGUCAUAUGGGCAGCCUCUCUGAUAGCCCGGGGCCUAUCACCCAGUGGGUGCUCCGCACACAGUAGCCACAGCUUUGAUGGGCAGCAGAUAUGCAGGGCAUGCUUGCUGGGCUCUGGGUCCUAUUCUCAGGGCUUCACAGACAGGAACUUACUUCAUUCUCGUGGCUGUUCUUUAAAGUAGGCUGUGUGUGUAUUCUGGUUAUAUAGGAGAGGAAACAGGCACAGAGAGGUAGAGAAACUGUGCCAAGGUCUCACAGUAAGGAAGGGCUGGAGCUGGGUUUUGAUUCAAGGUGGUUCUGCUCUUGAUCCUCAUGUUGAGGGAGGGCUCUGUUAGCCCAGAUAAAGAGGGGUACCGCUUUUCACCUGGGCAAGGACAGGUGAACUGACUGUGAUCAGCCCCUGAGGAGGAAGCAUCGUGUGUGAAGGCCCAGCAGCUGGAGACUCCAUGGGAGGGGGUGGAGGGAGGUGGAGCAAGCAGCAAGCCCCCCACAGGCAGUGAGGUGUCUGGACCAUCUUGCUGACCUCUGCCUCCGCUCAUGCUCCCUUGUCUCCAGUGCAUGGAAAGGGAAAGGAGAUGGCACCUGUGGACUAAGGGGUGGGGUAGAGCUUAGGACUACUUGUGCAAUGGGGCCUGGCUACUUGGUGUUCCUGCCCACCCAUGUCCCCAAGGGAGAUGCCACCUGGGUGUGGGUGGGGAGGAGGGGGCACUGUGUUCCCGGAGUUGAGAAGCAACCAGAGCUGUUGGCAGGGAACAGCGGGCACCGUGGGCAGGGGCCGGCUGGCAGCCCCCCUCAGGGCCCAUCCUCCUGCUGCCAGUAUGGAGGGGCCAUCCAGAUGACCUUGGAGAAGCUGGGGAAAGAUUGUAACUUGUUACCUCAGUGUCCCACCAAGGUCACUCCCCCAUCCUGAGCUUGUGCUUAGUGUCCAGACGCUGCCCAGACACUGGCUGAGGGUGGCCUGCCUAGUGUCACACAGUGAUCUCCCUGAACUUAUUAAUAAGCCAUUUUGGGGUGUCCCUUAGGCCUUGUGCCGGCGGCUCCUCCACUAAGUUGGGACAACUCCAGCCACACCUUCCUGUCCUCCCUGCCUCUUUCUGGGACAGUGUGGAAAGGAAGGGUUUGCUGGACCCUGUCUUUAGAUGUUAAACUAUGAGGCCACAGGCUGCUAGAACUCCAUUUUGAAUGGUCUGAACUCUUACAGAAGGGUCUGUCCCUACCCCACUGCUCCUGUCUUGCCCAGGAGUCUGCAUUGGAGCCGUCCAUGUGCUGGUUCCAGGAAAGACCAGCCCAGCUGCAGGCUCUUCUCGUAGAGCCUUUUGUAGCCCCUGGGGGCAGCCUGAUGUAGGAAAAACCUGGGGGAAUGUCACAGGAGUCACCAGCUGUCAUAGGAUGGGACCUUAGACUCACUUGUUUCUCCUCAUCAGUAAAAUGGGCUUAACAACACAUAGGGCCAGGCGGUCGUAGCACACACCUUUGAUCCUAGCACUUAGGAGGCAGAGGCAGAUGGAUCUUGAUGAGUUCAAGGCUAGCUUGGUCUGCAGAGUGAGGUCAAGCAAGGCUACACAGAGAAACCGUGUCUCAAAAAAGAAAAAAGAAUGACACAAAGGACUGAUAUUGUGGCACAUACCUUUAAUUCCAGUACUUGGGAGGGAGACAGAGGUAGGUGGAUCUCUGAGUUCAAGGCCAGCCAGGUCUACAUACUGAAUUCUAGGAUAGCCAAUGCUGUAUAGUGUGACUCUUAUCUCUAGAAAAAUCAUGAAAGUGCUGGGGAUGCCACUGGGUGUUAGGUAGAGUGCUUACCCGAGGCCCUGGGUUCAGUCCCUACCACUGUGUAAACUGAAUUUGGGAGGUGAAGGCAGGAGGUCAGAACUUCAAGGUCAUCCUCAGCUAUGAUGUGCGUUUGAGGCCAGCCUGGGCUACAUGAAGCUCUGUGAGAGUUUCAGUCAUCGCUGCUGUUGUGCGUUAUUUCCUUAGCCCUUCAUCCUGUCCACAUUGUUGAGCCACUAGUGGAAGGCUACCCAGGUAAGCAAGCAGCUCCCAUGGUAACGCUAAAGACAGAUUUAUGGAGCAGGUGCCUGCCCGCAGGGAGGACAUCCCUCUUGUGAGAUGGGUGAUGCCCUCACAGGUCCUUUGCCCCACCACAGGUGGCCAUUGCUGGGACCUGUCUGAAUGUCAGCUGGGGGCCCAUCCUUUGGCCCCUCGGGCUCCCGUGCUACCACCCUGCACCUCUGUCUGGGAGGCCGGAGGGGAGGCUGUGGUAGCUUGACUCCUGGGGCCUGUAGUGUGUACCCCUCUUUCUGUCUGGUCUCUGUUCCCCAUUGGAAAAAUGAGCUGACCUGUGAGCUUAAGGCUCCCUAUGAGGUCAACUGGGACAAGUGACCUUGGGAAGAGGGCUAGAAGAUAUCUGAGACCUCAGAUGGUGGCUCAGGCACCUGACUUAGCACCUGAGUAUUUCCUGGCAACUCUGCAAAAAGACAUAGCUAUCUGUCUGUCCCUGUGGUCAGGGUCUGGGAGAACUGGGGAGCUGGCAAUGAGGGUCAGAGGAAAGUCCCUUGCCAAAGCAGCUGUGGGCUAGGGUGCUGCCCCCAAGAGUGACACCAAAGGAGGUUUCUAAGGACUUGUCCAGGAUAUACCAAACCAUGAUGCUCCCCUGCCUGGCUGGGUAGGUGCCUGUGGAGACCCCUGCACUGCCCAAUCUACCCACCACCCCCUACUCAUUCCUACAUGGCAGAUGUGCCUGCCUUCCCAGUGCUCAGUGGUACUGUGGUGUUCCUGGCCUUGCUGAGAACAGCCUAAGGGGGAAUGGGCAAUGGCAGGCAAACACAGGCCCUGCUGGUGCCUUCACUGAGGAUUGGUCCCUGGGGUAUAAGAGACUGUAGAUCCCAGAUAAUCCCAGCUUCCUAGUGCUGUCU
Molecule: long non-coding RNA, 17102 nt
Filed under: Cricetulus griseus (Chinese hamster)
Lineage: Eukaryota; Metazoa; Chordata; Mammalia; Rodentia; Cricetidae
Description: lncRNA (ENSCGRG00015035551.1)
Source: RNAcentral